This 454-nucleotide ribosomal RNA is filed under the name uncultured Anoxybacillus sp. RNAcentral describes it as "bacterial SSU rRNA". It matches the Rfam family "Bacterial small subunit ribosomal RNA", at positions 929 to 1382 of the family's 1533-position model. The record is from RNAcentral. Lineage: Bacteria; Bacillati; Bacillota; Bacilli; Caryophanales; Anoxybacillaceae.
GCGGUGGAGCAUGUGGUUUAAUUCGAAGCAACGCGAAGAACCUUACCAGGUCUUGACAUCCCCUGACAACCCGAGAGAUCGGGCGUUCCCCUUCGGGGGACAGGGUGACAGGUGGUGCAUGGUUGUCGUCAGCUCGUGUCGUGAGAUGUUGGGUUAAGUCCCGCAACGAGCGCAACCCUCGACCUUAGUUGCCAGCAUUCAGUUGGGCACUCUAAGGUGACUGCCGGCUAAAAGUCGGAGGAAGGUGGGGAUGACGUCAAAUCAUCAUGCCCCUUAUGACCUGGGCUACACACGUGCUACAAUGGGCGGUACAAAGGGUCGCGAACCCGCGAGGGGGAGCCAAUCCCAAAAAGCCGCUCUCAGUUCGGAUUGCAGGCUGCAACUCGCCUGCAUGAAGCCGGAAUCGCUAGUAAUCGCGGAUCAGCAUGCCGCGGUGAAUACGUUCCCGGGCCUU